This 566-nucleotide ribosomal RNA is filed under the name uncultured bacterium. RNAcentral describes it as "bacterial SSU rRNA". It matches the Rfam family "Bacterial small subunit ribosomal RNA", at positions 338 to 917 of the family's 1533-position model. The record is from RNAcentral.
CCUACGGGAGGCAGCAGUGGGGAAUUUUCCGCAAUGGGCGAAAGCCUGACGGAGCAAUACCGCGUGAGGGAGGAAGGUCUUUGGAUUGUAAACCUCUUUUAUUAGGGAAGAAGAAAGUGACGGUACCUAAUGAAUAAGCAUCGGCUAACUCCGUGCCAGCAGCCGCGGUAAUACGGAGGAUGCGAGCGUUAUCCGGAAUUAUUGGGCGUAAAGAGUCCGUAGGUGGUUUAGCAAGUCUGCCGUUAAAGAAUGGAGCUUAACUCCAUAGGGGCGGUGGAAACUGCGAGACUAGAGUACAGUAGGGGUAGCAGGAAUUCCCAGUGUAGCGGUGAAAUGCGUAGAUAUUGGGAAGAACAUCGGUGGCGAAAGCGUGCUACUGGGCUGAAACUGACACUGAGGGACGAAAGCUAGGGUAGCGAAAGGGAUUAGAUACCCCUGUAGUCCUAGCCGUAAACGAUGGAUACUAGGCGUGGCUUGUAUCGACCCGAGCCGUGCCGAAGCUAACGCGUUAAGUAUCCCGCCUGGGGAGUACGCACGCAAGUGUGAAACUUAAAGGAAUUGACGGA